UCUAGAGCAAUAAUGUCGGAUCAUUUAAUAUAUAUCUUUUAAUUAGCACUUUAUAUAUAUAUAUUUAAAUAGAUAUCCAGUUUUGUAAUGUAAUAAAUAAAUUUUUAACACCCAAAUCUAGGAGUGUCAAAAUGGGUCAAAAUUCAUGGGUCAACUCAACUCAACUCAACCCAUGAACCUUAAUGAGUUGAAAAUUUUUGACUCAAAUGAGUUGAUGGGUCAAAUGAGUUAUCGGGUCAAUUGGUUUGAUGAGUAAAUGAGUUGGAUUGUAAUGGUUAAUGGUUUCAAUGAUUUACCUAAUUAACCCAUCAAAAUUUGUAAAAUUGAAUUAAACCAACUAAAAUCUCUAAACCAAUGCUAAUUUAAGUUUAACCAACACAUCUAAACCAAUCUAAUAAAAUUAAUAUUUUUCCAAAUUUCUUAAAUAUACAAGCGAUGAAUUGAGAAAAAGUAAACUCGUAAUUUUUCCACCAACAAACAUAAACCCGUGAUUUUCCCGCCAAAAACGUAAAUCCGUGAUUUUUCUGAAAAAAACGUAAACCCGUGAUUUUCACGCCAAAAACGAAACCCCAUGAUUUUCCCACCAAAAACAAAAACCCGUGAUUUUCCCGCCAAAAACGUAAGCCCGUGAUUUUCCCGCCAAAAACGAAAAACAUGUAAUUUUCCCGCCAAAAACGAAUACCCGUGAUUUUCCCGCCAAAAACGUAAACCCGUGAUUUUCCUGCCAAAAACGAAAAACAUGUAAUUUUCCCGCCAAAAACGAAAACCCGUGAUUUUGCCGCCAAAAACGAAAACCCGUGAUUUUCCCGCCAAAAACGAAAAUCCGUGAUUUUCCCGCCAAAAACGUAAACCCGUUAUUUUCCCGCCAAAAACGAAAACCCGUGAUUUUCCCGCCAAAAACGAAAACCCGUGAUUUUCCCGCCAAAAACGUAAACCCGUGAUUUUUCCACCAAAAACGUAAACUUGUAAUUUUUUCGCCAAAAACGUAAACCCGUGAUUUUCCCGCCAACAAUGUAAUCCGUAAUUUUCCCGCCAAAAACGUAAAUCCGUAAACGGUAGAAUCUGUAAAUAUUUUAAGUUUGAUAAUAAUGAAUUAAUAAUUAUUAAUAAUGAUAAUUAUUUAUUAUUGUUUUAUAAUAAUAAUUAAUUAAAUUAUUAUUUAAUUGGGUUAACCCAUUUAACAAUUUCACCCAUUAAAUUAAAUGAGUUAUGGGUUGAUCCAACCCAUUUAACAAAAUGAGUUGGGUCAACCCAUAACUCAUUUAACCCUAAACUCAUUUGAUUAUGAGUUGAGUUGAGUUGGGUUACCCAUUUUGACACUCCUACCCAAACCCAAAGUUUUUUAAAUUUGCAGGUGUUGGAAUGAUGUGGCGAUGAAGAAGCAUGGUAGGUGG
This 1394-nucleotide small RNA is filed under the name Arabidopsis thaliana (thale cress). RNAcentral's name for it is "ATSL048080". The stretch from base 1169 to 1290 matches the Rfam family "MIR405 microRNA precursor family". The record is from RNAcentral. Lineage: Eukaryota; Viridiplantae; Streptophyta; Magnoliopsida; Brassicales; Brassicaceae.